AUCACCUGGCUUUCAGCGCAAUUCAAAUAAGGUACAGCCUAUUUGAAACAGGAUACAACCUAACCCAAUGGAUAAGAUCAGCCCAGCAUACAAUCAAGUGGGCCUAAAAGCAGCCACCUUAAAUACAGCGUCAAAGCUAAAUUGUAAUCGCGCCCAAUGACUUAAUCUACAUCUUAAUCCUCAACCAAUACUGAGUAAUUCCAUAACACUAUGGAAAUUUCUAUGUUAAAACUAGUAACAAGAAGAAGACCCUUCUCUUAAAUGUACGUGUAAAUCAGAAGAGACAAACUACUGAUACUUAACACCCAUGAGCUCAAAGUAACAACUAACCAAGAAAACCCUACUUUAUCUAGUGUUAACCUAACACAAGAACAUUCCAAGAAAGAUUAAAAGAAAAAGAAGGAACUCGGCAAAUAUUAACCUCGCCUGUUUACCAAAAACAUCGCCUCUUGAAUUAUUAUAAGAGGUCCAGCCUGCCCAGUGACCCUGUUCAACGGCCGCGGUAUCCUAACCGUGCGAAGGUAGCGUAAUCACUUGUUCUCUAAAUGCGGACUAGUAUGAAUGGCAUCACGAAGGUUAUACUGUCUCCUUUUUCUAAUCAGUGAAACUAAUCUCCCCGUGAAGAAGCGAGGAUUAUCCUAUAAGACGAGAAGACCCUAUGGAGCUUUAAACAAUGCAGCAUCUGCCCCAUACCACCAAUAUUUCCGAACUUUAACUCACCGGACAGUGUGACUGCAAGUUUUUGGUUGGGGUGACCACGGAGCAUAACACAACCUCCAUGCUGAAAGAAUAUCUCUAAGCUAAGAACCACAAAUCUAAGCAUCAAUAAAUUGACAUCCAUUGACCCAAUAAACUUGAGCAACGAACCAAGUUACCCUAGGGAUAACAGCGCAAUCCACUUCAAAAGCUCCUAUCGACAGGUGGGUUUACGACCUCGAUGUUGGAUCAGGGUCUCCCAGUGGUGCAGCCGCUACUAAA
RNAcentral lists this ribosomal RNA (978 nucleotides) under Bufo sp. e ZTL-2023. Its description in RNAcentral is "partial large subunit ribosomal RNA". It matches the Rfam family "Bacterial large subunit ribosomal RNA", at positions 965 to 2569 of the family's 2925-position model. The record is from RNAcentral. Lineage: Eukaryota; Metazoa; Chordata; Amphibia; Anura; Bufonidae.